UUGUAUGUACUUUACGAAUAAGGAUCGGCUAACUCCGUGCCAGCAGCCGCGGUAAUACGGAGGAUCCGAGCGUUAUCCGGAUUUAUUGGGUUUAAAGGGUGCGUAGGCGGACCUGUAAGUCAGUGGUGAAAGUUUGCAGCUCAACUGUAAAAUUGCCAUUGAAACUAUUGGUCUUGAGUGUAAAUGAGGUAGGCGGAAUGUGUUGUGUAGCGGUGAAAUGCUUAGAUAUAACACAGAACACCAAUUGCGAAGGCAGCUUACUAGGAUACAACUGACGCUGAGGCACGAAAGCGUGGGGAUCAAACAGGAUUAGAUACCCUGGUAGUCCACGCAGUAAACGAUGAAUACUAGCUGUAUGCGAUAUAGUGUAUGUGGCAAAGCGAAAGCGUUAAGUAUUCCACCUGGGGAGUACGUUCGCAAGAAUG
RNAcentral lists this ribosomal RNA (425 nucleotides) under uncultured bacterium. Its description in RNAcentral is "bacterial SSU rRNA". It matches the Rfam family "Bacterial small subunit ribosomal RNA", at positions 469 to 896 of the family's 1533-position model. The record is from RNAcentral.